Molecule: ribosomal RNA, 656 nt
Filed under: uncultured bacterium
Lineage: Bacteria
Description: bacterial SSU rRNA
Rfam family: Bacterial small subunit ribosomal RNA
Source: RNAcentral
AACGUGCCCUUCACUACGGAACAACGUCGGGAAACUGACGCUAAUACCGUAUAAUGUCUCCGGACCAAAGAUUUAUCGGUGAAGGAUCGGCCCGCGUCUGAUUAGCUAGUUGGUGAGGUAAAAGCUCACCAAGGCGACGAUCAGUAGCUGGUUUGAGAGAAUGAUCAGCCACACUGGGACUGAGACACGGCCCAGACUCCUACGGGAGGCAGCAGUGAGGAAUCUUGGACAAUGGGCGCAAGCCUGAUCCAGCCAUGCCGCGUGAGUGAUGAAGGCCUCAGGGUUGUAAAGCUCUUUUGGCGGGGAUGAUAAUGACCGUACCCGCAGAAUAAGCCACGGCUAAAUUCGUGCCAGCAGCCGCGGUAAUACGAAUGUGGCGAGCGUUGUUCGGAAUCACUGGGCGUAAAGAGUACGUAGGCGGCUUGAUAAGUCAGGAGUGAAAUCCCCAGGCUCAACCUGGGAAUUGCUCUUGAAACUAUCUCGCUAGAAACACGGAGAGGUUGGCGGAAUUCCAAGUGUAGAGGUGAAAUUCGCAGAUAUUUGGAGGAACACCAGUGGCGUAAGCGGCCAACUGGACGUGUAUUGACGCUGAGGUACGAAAGCGUGGGGAUCAAACAGGAUUAGAUACCCUGGUAGUCCACGCCAUAAACGAUGUG